GGUUUCGUGGUGUAGUUGGUUAUCACGUCAGUCUAACAUAUAUCAUAUAUAUAACACUGAAGGUCUCCGGUUCAAGUCCGGGCGAAAUCA
RNAcentral lists this transfer RNA (90 nucleotides) under Xylaria telfairii. Its description in RNAcentral is "tRNA-Val". It matches the Rfam family "tRNA". From Rfam's summary of the family: Transfer RNA (tRNA) molecules are approximately 80 nucleotides in length. Their secondary structure includes four short double-helical elements and three loops (D, anti-codon, and T loops). The record is from RNAcentral. Lineage: Eukaryota; Fungi; Ascomycota; Sordariomycetes; Xylariales; Xylariaceae.